RNAcentral lists this small nucleolar RNA (141 nucleotides) under Sciurus vulgaris (Eurasian red squirrel). Its description in RNAcentral is "Small nucleolar RNA SNORA67 (ENSSVLG00005016975.1)". It matches the Rfam family "Small nucleolar RNA SNORA67". From Rfam's summary of the family: U67 belongs to the H/ACA class of snoRNAs which are thought to guide the sites of modification of uridines to pseudouridines. Lineage: Eukaryota; Metazoa; Chordata; Mammalia; Rodentia; Sciuridae. The record is from Rfam by way of RNAcentral.
CUCCAAGGUGAUUCCCUCUCCAUGGGGCCAACUAGUGCCCCCUUCAGGAAAGUAGCAGCUUGGAAGAAAACCUGGCAUGCCUAAGGUUGGAAGACAAAGAAUACUUGGAAUUCUUUUGCCUUCCUUUGGCUGCCUACAUGC